CCUACGGGUGGCAGCAGUGAGGAAUAUUGGUCAAUGGACGAGAGUCUGAACCAGCCAAGUAGCGUGAAGGAUGACUGCCCUAUGGGUUGUAAACUUCUUUUAUAAAGGAAUAAAACGAGGCACGUGUGCCUUUUUGCAUGUACUUUGUGAAUAAGGAUCGGCUAACUCCGUGCCAGCAGCCGCGGUAAUACGGAGGAUCCGAGCGUUAUCCGGAUUUAUUGGGUUUAAAGGGAGCGUAGAUGGGUUGUUAAGUCAGUUGUGAAAGUUUGCGGCUCAACCGUAAAAUUGCAAUUGAUACUGGCAGUCGUGAGUACAGUUGAGGUAGGCGGAAUUCGUGGUGUAGCGGUGAAAUGCUUAGAUAUCACGAAGAACCCCGAUUGCGAAGGCAGCUUACUAAACUGUGACUGACAUUGAUGCUCGAAAGUGUGGGUAUCAAACAGGAUGAGAUACCCGAGUAGUC
Molecule: ribosomal RNA, 460 nt
Filed under: uncultured bacterium
Lineage: Bacteria
Description: partial 16S ribosomal RNA
Rfam family: Bacterial small subunit ribosomal RNA
Source: RNAcentral